Agrilus planipennis (emerald ash borer) is the source of this 1987-nucleotide long non-coding RNA. RefSeq lists it as uncharacterized. The transcript is spliced from 2 exons. The record is from RefSeq and is a predicted model, not a curated record. NCBI's taxonomy places the organism in Eukaryota, Metazoa, Arthropoda, Insecta, Coleoptera, Buprestidae.
UCACAAAAAGAACACCAAACAAAUUUAAAAAGUUUGUCAAAAUUGUUCGCAAAGUAAAAAUUAAAAAACCCAAUCAUUUCACUUUUGUGAGUGAAACUUCAAAGUAUUUUUAGAAAUCCUUGAAAUAACUGACCAACUAUUGUUCUAAUAAUAAAAAUUCGAAGGGCAACGUACACAUCCGCAUACAAAUUGUGUACAAAAAGAAACACGUCAAAGGCACGCAACAUGUAAUACUUAUUUCAUCCUCAAAACACAAAUAAUAACAAUAACUGACCUUAUACUAUAAUAUAUUGAAUUAGAAAUAGUUUUUCUUUUAUCUAAAACAAAGAUAGCUAAUUCUACCUCUGCCUCUCUUAACUCCCGUUUCUGCUUCUAAUAUGUGUCUAACGAGGCCUUCAUAUCUGAGAAAGGGCACCUAGCCCUCUGUUCUCAUACUCAUUCUAAAACUACCUAUUUCUCAUUUUCCUUAUGCAGGGUAUUUUUAAAAUUACUACACUUUAUAUACCGUUACACCUUUCUCGUGACUUUAUUUUAUGUGGGAAGUACUUUUACGUAAAACUAAAGCAAUAAACCGAUUACUACAAAACAAAAUACGUUUUUAAGCGCCAAAAUUUGUACAAAGUACAAUAUAAACUGUGCAAAUGAACUUUGUAUUCACAAAUAGCUAAAUUCAUUCAUCAGGUUCGUCAUUACGUGAUAUCUGCGUAACCGUUUCAAAAAAAAAAAAAACAAAAUGUACCAUAAAAUCGUGAUGCCUGUAAAGCACAUCAACAAGAUAACUCGUUGUUUAAUGUGAUCUUCCAAUGAAUACGUAUAUACCUAGAUAAAAGUUCUUCUAAUUGUAUCAUAAGAGGUAAUACAAUUAGUUCAAAAACUAUUUGACGAAGAAAUCUGAAAUAUGACACAAUAACAAAUCAUAUUCAUUUGCGUAUUUUAUUCAUUUACACAUAUAUUUCAGCCUAGUUGUUUAUAAUUUUAUAAUCUGUUACAAACUGCAGUAUUUUUUGUAUCUUAGUUCUAAGACUCGUUCAAAGUAGAAUUACGCCCAUUAGAAUGAGGCUUAUUUAUAGGGUGCAGAAUCUUAGUUGAUACUUCGCGAAUAAUAAAAAAAUAGAGAAAGAGAAGGGGUGACUACAAUAUUAUUUAAACAAGACAAAAUCCCUGCAGACACUUUCUUUCGAAUAAAAAUUUUUCAUUUGUAUCAACUACAGUUUAUUUUGCAUUUUGCUUUCGAUAUAGAUAUUUUUUAUUACGGUGAUGUAGUGGAGGUGUAAAAAUUAGUUGUAGGGAGCGAAACCCUCCAAUAUUAAAUUAUGAUUUUUGAGUUAGAUUUUUUCUUGUCCCACAAUAAUUUUUUGUAUAUUAGCUCUAAGAGUAAUUUAAAGUAGGAUUAUGCCUAUGAGAUAAUUCGUCAAAAGGUCUGAGGGUUAUUUCUAGGAUGCGAAACCCUCCAAUAUUAAAUUAUUAUUUUUCGGUGGAAGUUGUUCUUGUCCCACAAUAAUUUUUUGUAUCGUAGCUGCAAGAGUCAUUUAAAGUGGGAUUAUGCCUAUAAGAUAAUUUUGAGGGUUAUUUCUAGGGUGCGAAACCCUGCAAUAUUAAAUUAUGAUUUUUGAGUUGUUGUUGUUCUUAUCCCAUUGUUCUUUGUAUCUAAGCUCUAACAAUCAUUAAAAUUAAGAUUAGAAUGAUUAUAUACGUGGGUCCAUACAUAUUUGAACACGAGUUAUAAGAAUGGUGCAUUGCAAUGAAUGCGUAAUAAUGUGAACUUGGCAAUGAUCUUGGAUUUUAAAAAUCACGAGGUGCCAAAAAUCUAUUCUAAUCCCUAUAAAGCAGCUUUAACCGUGUAUUCAGGAUUGAAUGAUGUUAACGCAGCGAAAUAAUAGGUAAAGCAAGCUAACUUAACAAAUUCACUUCCAUCUUCAAGCCCGAAACAAUCUUUCGUGGCUGUUUUAGAAAUCGCAGCGGAAUAAGAAUAAUUUCAACAUGAUAA